GGAUUGAUCUGUCUGCUUAAUUGCGAUAACGAACGAGACCUUAACCUGCUAAAUAGCCAGGCUAGCUUUGGCUGGUCGCCGGCUUCUUAGAGGGACUAUCGGCUCAAGCCGAUGGAAGUUUGAGGCAAAAACAGGUCUGUGAUGCCCUUCGAUGUUMUGGGCCGCACGCGCGGUACACUGACAGAGCCAACGAGUAAUUCACCUUGGCCGAAAGGUCUGGGCAAUCUUGUUAAACUCUGUCGUGCUGGGGAUAGGGCAUUGCAAUUAUUGCCCUUCAACGAGGAAUGCCUAGUAAGCGCAAUUCAUCAGAUUGUGCUGGAUUCGUCCCUGCCCUUUGUACACACCGCCCGUCGCUACUACCGAUUGAAUGGCUAAGUGAGGCCUCCGGACUGGCCCCAGGAGGUCGGCAACGACCACCCAGGGCCGGAAAGUUCGUCAAACUUGGUCAUUUAGAGGAAGUAAAAGUCGUAACAAGGUUUCCGUAGGUAAGUUAUCGAUCAGCCGUUCCAUCCUCGUCAACAAAUACUAAUCUCUCCUAGGUGAACCUGCGGAAGGAUCAUUAAAAGUGAUAUUCGUCCCCUCGUGGGACGUUUGCCAACCCCCCGGGGCAACCCGGGUCAGGCACCACACCCUUGACUACCUACCAUGUUGCUUUGGCGGGCCGUGGCCCUGUGCCCCGUUGGCCCCGGCUGGCGAGCGCCCGUCAGAGACCCAUUUAAAAUCUGUUUAAACCGUGUCGUCUCAGUUAAAAAUAAUCGCAAAAAACUUUCAACAACGGAUCUCUUGGUUCUGGCAUCGAUGAAGAACGCAGCGAAAUGCGAUAAGUAAUGUGAAUUGCAGAAUUCAGUGAAUCAUCGAAUCUUUGAACGCACAUUGCGCUCCCUGGUAUUCCGGGGAGCAUGCCUGUUCGAGCGUCAUUUCAAAUCUCAAGCCUUGCUUGGUGUUGGGUGUUCGCCCCGGCGGCUGUCCCUCGGGGCACCGCCGGGGCGCUCCCAAAAAUCAGCGGCGGUGCAGCCGGGCUCAUAGCGCAGUGAACCGUAACAAGUCUCGCUAUCGCAGCCCCGGGUGCUCCUGCCGGACAAGACCCCCCCAUCUCAGAUUGACCUCGGAUCAGGUAGGGAUACCCGCUGAACUUAAGCAUAUCAAUAAGCGGAGGAAAAGAAACCAACAGGGAUUGCCUCAGUAACGGCGAGUGAAGCGGCAACAGCUCAAAUUUGAAAUCUGGCCCCCCGGGUCCGAGUUGUAAUUUGCAGAGGUGUGUCUCGGGAGAGAUACCGGCCCAAGUCCCCUGGAACGGGGCGUCCUAGAGGGUGAGAAUCCCGUACGCGGCCGGCCAUCAAUCCCAUGUGAGGCCCCUUCGACGAGUCGAGUUGUUUGGGAAUGCAGCUCAAAAUGGGUGGUAAAUUUCAUCUAAAGCUAAAUACCUGCCAGAGACCGAUAGCGCACAAGUAGAGUGAUCGAAAGAUGAAAAGCACUUUGAAAAGAGAGUUAAAAAGUAUGUGAAAUUGUUGAAAGGGAAGCGCUUGCAACCAGACUCGACCGCGGGUGCUCAACCGUCCCUCGGGGCGGCGUACUCGCCCGCGGCCGGGCCAGCAUCGGUUUUGGCGGCCGGACAAAGGCCCUGGGAAUGUAGCUCCCCCCGGGGAGUGUUAUAGCCCGGGGUGCAAUGCGGCCAGCCGGGACCGAGGACCGCGCAUUUGCUAGGAUGCUGGCAUAAUGGUUGCCAGCGACCCGUCUUG
This 1739-nucleotide ribosomal RNA is filed under the name Deltopyxis triangulispora. Its description in RNAcentral is "eukaryotic LSU rRNA". Lineage: Eukaryota; Fungi; Ascomycota. The record is from RNAcentral.